CAUAUCAAUAAGCGGAGGAAAAGACAGACCAACCGGGAUUGCCCCCAGUAACGGCGAGUGAAGCGGCAACAGCUCAAAUUUGAAAUCUGGGGUCCUUUGGGCCUCCGAGUUGUAGUUUGCAGAGGGAGCCUCGGAGGGCGUGCCGGCCCAAGUGCCUUGGAACAGGAUACCGCAGAGGGUGAGAGUCCCGUAUCCGGCCGGUGGCGCGCUCCGUGUGAGGCCUCUUCGACGAGUCGAGUUGUUUGGGAAUGCAGCUCCAAGCGGGUGGUAAAUUCCAUCUAAAGCUAAAUACUGGCCAGAGACCGAUAGCGAACAAGUAGAGUGAUCGAAAGAUGAAAAGCACUUUGAAAAGAGAGUCAAACAGUACGUGAAAUUGUUGAAAGGGAAGCGCAUGGGGGCAGACUUGGCCGCGGGGUUCAGGGUGCGUUCUCGCGCCUGCACUUCCCCGCGGACAGGCCAGCAUCGGUUCUGGGGGCCGGACAAAGGGGCCGGGAAGGUAGCCGCCUUCGGGCGGUGUUAUAGCCCGGCGCGCAAUGCGGCCACCUGGGACCGAGGACCGCGCUUCGGCAAGGAUGCUGGCGUAAUGGCCUCAUGCGGCCCGUCUUGAAACACGGACCAAGGAGUCUAACAUCUAUGCGAGUGUUUGGGUGGCAAGCCCGGGCGCGCAAUGAAAGUGAACGGAGGUGGGAGCUGUCGUAGGCGCACCAUCGACCGAUCCGGACGUUUUCCGAAGGAUUUGAGUAGGAGCAUAGCUGUUGGGACCCGAAAGAUGGUGAACUAUGCGUGAAUAGGGGUGAAGCCAGAGGAAACUCUGGUGGAGGCUCGCAGCGGUUCUGACGUGCAAAUCGAUCGUCAAAUUUGCGUAUAGGGGCGAAAGACUAAUCGAACCAUCUAGUAGCUGGUUCUGC
This 908-nucleotide ribosomal RNA is filed under the name Scolecobasidium tshawytschae. RNAcentral's name for it is "partial large subunit ribosomal RNA". It matches the Rfam family "Eukaryotic large subunit ribosomal RNA", at positions 39 to 960 of the family's 3401-position model. Lineage: Eukaryota; Fungi; Ascomycota; Dothideomycetes; Venturiales; Sympoventuriaceae. The record is from RNAcentral.